This 712-nucleotide ribosomal RNA is filed under the name uncultured organism. RNAcentral's name for it is "SSU rRNA". It matches the Rfam family "Bacterial small subunit ribosomal RNA", at positions 758 to 1471 of the family's 1533-position model. The record is from RNAcentral.
AGCGUGGGGAGCAAACAGGAUAGAUUACCCUUGGUAGUCCACGCCGUAAAACGAUGAAUACUAGGUGUGGGGGUUUCAACACCUCCGUGCUGCCGCUAACGCAUUAAGUAUUCCGCCUGGGGAGUACGGUCGCAAGAUUAAAACUCAAAGGAAUUGACGGGGACCCGCACAAGUAGCGGAGCAUGUGGUUUAAUUCGAAGCAACGCGAAGAACCUUACCUACACUUGACAUCCCUUGCAUUACUCUUAAUCGAGGAAAUCCCUUCGGGGACAAGGUGACAGGUGGUGCAUGGUUGUCGUCAGCUCGUGUCGUGAGAUGUUGGGUUAAGUCCCGCAACGAGCGCAACCCUUGUCGUUAGUUACUACCAUUAAGUUGAGGACUCUAGCGAGACUGCCUGGGUUAACCAGGAGGAAGGUGGGGAUGACGUCAAAUCAUCAUGCCCCUUAUGUGUAGGGCUACACACGUGCUACAAUGGUUGGUACAGAGAGAUGCAAUACCGCGAGGUGGAGCCAAACUUAAAAACCAGUCUCAGUUCGGAUUGUAGGCUGAAACUCGCCUACAUGAAGCUGGAGUUACUAGUAAUCGCGAAUCAGAAUGUCGCGGUGAAUACGUUCCCGGGUCUUGUUCACACCGCCCGUCACACCAUGAGAGUUGGCAAUACCCGAAGUCCGUGAGCUAACCGCAAGGAGGCAGCGGCCGAAGGUAGGGUCAG